GCCAGUGUGUGGUGUAGUGGUUUGAGCACUGGAUUGUGACUCUGGAGAACAGGGUUUGAGUCCCUGCUUGGCC
This is a non-coding RNA of Phrynosoma platyrhinos (Desert horned lizard), 73 nucleotides long. The record is from the annotation of a GenBank genome assembly. NCBI's taxonomy places the organism in Eukaryota, Metazoa, Chordata, Lepidosauria, Squamata, Phrynosomatidae.